Molecule: transfer RNA, 60 nt
Filed under: Rhizosolenia imbricata
Lineage: Eukaryota; Bacillariophyta; Coscinodiscophyceae; Rhizosoleniales; Rhizosoleniaceae
Description: tRNA-Val
Rfam family: tRNA
About the family: Transfer RNA (tRNA) molecules are approximately 80 nucleotides in length.
Source: RNAcentral
UUAGCUCAGCUGGGAGAGCACCUGCCUUACAAGCAGGGGGUCAUUGGUUCGAUCCCGAUA